Molecule: ribosomal RNA, 388 nt
Filed under: uncultured Methanomicrobiales archaeon
Lineage: Archaea; Methanobacteriati; Methanobacteriota; Methanomicrobia; Methanomicrobiales
Description: bacterial SSU rRNA
Rfam family: Archaeal small subunit ribosomal RNA
Source: RNAcentral
UAUCGGGCUGAAGACUCUACUUGACUAGCUGAGAGGAGGUGCAUGGCCGUCGUCAGUUCGUACUGUGAAGCAUCCUGUUAAGUCAGGCAACGAGCGAGACCCACGCCAACAGUUGCCAGCUCGUCCUCCGGGGAUGGUGGGGACACUGUUGGGACCGCCUCUGCUAAAGAGGAGGAAGGAAUGGGCAACGGUAGGUCAGCAUGCCCCGAAUUAUCUGGGCUACACGCGGGCUACAAUGGGUGGGACAAUGGGUAUCGACACCGAAAGGUGAAGGCAAUCUCCUAAACCCAUCCGUAGUUCGGAUUGUGGGCUGCAACUCGCCCACAUGAAGCUGGAAUCUGUAGUAAUCGUGUCUCAAAAUGGCACGGUGAAUAUGUCCCUGCUCCUU